GAAAGGCCCCUUCGGGGGUACUCGAGUGGCGAACGGGUGAGUAACACGUGGGCAAUCUGCCCUGCACUUCGGGAUAAGCCUGGGAAACUGGGUCUAAUACCGGAUAGGACCUUUAGGCGCAUGUCUUUAGGUGGAAAGCUUUUGCGGUGUGGGAUGGGCCCGCGGCCUAUCAGCUUGUUGGUGGGGUGAUGGCCUACCAAGGCGACGACGGGUAGCCGGCCUGAGAGGGUGUCCGGCCACACUGGGACUGAGAUACGGCCCAGACUCCUACGGGAGGCAGCAGUGGGGAAUAUUGCACAAUGGGCGCAAGCCUGAUGCAGCGACGCCGCGUGGGGGAUGACGGCCUUCGGGUUGUAAACCUCUUUCACCAUCGACGAAGGUCCGGGUUUUCUCGGAUUGACGGUAGGUGGAGAAGAAGCACCGGCCAACUACGUGCCAGCAGCCGCGGUAAUACGUAGGGUGCGAGCGUUGUCCGGAAUUACUGGGCGUAAAGAGCUCGUAGGUGGUUUGUCGCGUUGUUCGUGAAAUCUCACGGCUUAACUGUGAGCGUGCGGGCGAUACGGGCAGACUAGAGUACUGCAGGGGAGACUGGAAUUCCUGGUGUAGCGGUGGAAUGCGCAGAUAUCAGGAGGAACACCGGUGGCGAAGGCGGGUCUCUGGGCAGUAACUGACGCUGAGGAGCGAAAGCGUGGGGAGCGAACAGGAUUAGAUACCCUGGUAGUCCACGCCGUAACGGUGGGUACUAGGUGUGGGUUUCCUUCCUUGGGAUCCGUGCCGUAGCUACGCAUUAAGUACCCCGCCUGGGGAGUACGGCCGCAAGGCUAAAACUCAAGGAUUGACGGGGGCCCGCACAAGCGGCGGAGCAUGUGGAUAAUUCGAUGCAACGCGAGAACCUUACCUGGGUUUGACAUGCACAGGACGCGUCUAGAGAUAGCGUCUAGCUG
RNAcentral lists this ribosomal RNA (944 nucleotides) under Mycobacterium intracellulare. Its description in RNAcentral is "bacterial SSU rRNA". It matches the Rfam family "Bacterial small subunit ribosomal RNA", at positions 69 to 1019 of the family's 1533-position model. Lineage: Bacteria; Bacillati; Actinomycetota; Actinomycetes; Mycobacteriales; Mycobacteriaceae. The record is from RNAcentral.